Molecule: RNA transcript, 2197 nt
Organism: Eucalyptus grandis
Lineage: Eukaryota; Viridiplantae; Streptophyta; Magnoliopsida; Myrtales; Myrtaceae
Gene name: L-ascorbate oxidase-like
Exons: 8
Source: RefSeq, a predicted model, not a curated record
CGCUUUUUUAUGUAAAAGUUGAUACUUUUUGGAGAUGGCUUAAAUGUACGGCAAAACGAACCAAGCGGACAACUUCUUCUGCUGCUGCUAAAUCGACAGCGGCCCCACGAACUCCGUCUCUCCCCCAUUAAAGUCCCAUCUUUCGUGCGCAGCUCGGGUUCCCGGUGAGCGCGAGAGAUGGGUAGCUCGGGUUCUCGUGAUGGUGGCAUCAGGAGGAGCUCGAGGGCUUUUCUACAACUGGGAAGUGAAGCAAGAGAUGAUGGGCUCCUCCUACAAGGAGCAGGUUGUCACCAUCAAUGGACGGCACCCCGGCCCCCACCAUCCAGGCUCAUCAUCAGGGAAACAGAGUUUUCGUCAGGGUUACCAACAGGUUGAGCCAGAAUGUCGCGAUCCAUUGGCACGACACCCAACAGAUUCAAAGUCUAGGGAGCGAUGGAACAGGUGAUGUAACUUUCACCUAUAUUUUCAUCGUCCAUCAGCUUGGAAAAUCUCAGUACGACUCCUAUUACACAAUGCAAAUGGUGGCUGGACUGCAUGGGUUGAUCGAUGUUUUGCCACUGUACAGCAUGGCGGAGCCAUUCGCUCAAAGAUUAUGACAAGAGCAUCAUCCUCGACAACUGGUACUACUAAAGCUAUCAUGAUUGGGCGGCAGAGCCUGAGUUUCUGCUGAUUCCCAGGACGGCUCGUAAUGCCAUCAAUCCUGAAUAUUUGCACUGGAGGGUCGUCCUUGGUAAAACGUAUCACCUCAAUAUUUCGAGUGUGACCACUCAUUGUACUCUCAGCUUUCAGAUUGAGGGUCACAACCUUACUGUUGUUGAAGUGGAUGGGCACUAUGUAGAGCCAUUUGUGAACCAAAGCCUGAUCAUCUACUCGGGUAAGACAUACUCCGUCAAGAUCAAAGCCGAUCAAGAUCCGUCGAGAAAUUACUUGAUCACGACCGACAUUGUUGGCCAGAAUGCCACUGCGACAACCCCUCUCGGUCUGGCCGUGCGCAGCUACUCCCCACCCACUGGCCCGAUUCGGAAUGGCGUCACACCACAGUCAGUUCAGAGCCUGGGGAACAAAGCCUGCCAAGCAACGGAACUGUGCGCAUCAUGAAUGAAAAACUAUAAAAGAAGCAGAGCCCUGCAAUGUUGGGUUUGAUGCUGCAGAGCAUAUAGGCAUUGGAUGGCAAAAAGAGAAGCAACAGAACUGUGGACACCGUUGGGUUUCUAUGCCUUUUCGUGACUUGCGAUUGGCAGGGGCUCUAGGGCCUUUCUACAACUGGGAAGUGAAGCAGGAGCUGAUGGGCUCCUACAAGAAGGAGGUCGUCACCGUCAACGGACAGACUUCCGGCCCCACCAUCCAGGCACAUCAGGGAGAGAGUUUUCGUCAGACUUGCCAACAUUUUGAGCGAGAAUGUGGCGAUUCAUUGGCACAACACCCAACAGAUUCAAAGUCUAGAGAGCGAUGGAACAGGUGACGUCAUUCCAAGGCCCAUUUCAGAAAAACUUUCACCUAUAUUUUCAUCAUCCAUCAGCUUGGAAAAUCUCAGUUACGACUCCUAGUACGAUUCCUAUUACACACAAUGCAAACGGUGGCUGGACUGCAUGGGUUGAUCGAUAUUUUGCCACCACCUUACGGCAUGGGCGAGCCAUUCCUUUACGAAAGUGAUCAUUCCGUAAGACAAAAGUACCAGUAAGAUUACAACCGUGAACUGGCUAGAGGCAGGAAACUCGGCAUGGGCAACAAGUCAUUUCGAUGGCAUCAGACAUAGUUAUCUGUGAACUCGCUAGAGGAAGCAAACUCGACAGAAAAAACCAUAUUGCCUGAUCAUGAAAGUGACCAUUCCAUAAGACAAAAGUACCAGUAACAACCAAGAAGAUGACAGCCCAGAUUGAACAGAGAACCAUAGAAUGUCUCUUAUCUCCCCAGCUUGCUAAAUAGUAUGAAAUUAUGGGACCAUUAUGUCCAUUACCGCAUGUCAGGGCCAUUAAUAUCGUUCUAGGAGUUCUCAAGAGACCCAUAAUGAGAUUGGUAUUGGGGGUCUCAGUUAAAUUCCACAAUGAUGACAUGCAAAAAAUCCACGGCAGUGCCAAAAAAGGAGUGUGCCUGACAUUGGCAUAAGCAACGAAUAAAAAGAGAUAUCUAUAGUAAGUGGAAAUGUUAAUACAAUUAUGUACCUAUCGCUGGCUAAAGAGCAUUUAUUGCCACAACA